UACAGAGGUCCCAAGCGUUGUUCGGAUUCACUGGGCGUAAAGGGUGCGUAGGCGGUCGGGUAAGUCUGAUGUGAAAUCUCACAGCUUAACUGUGAAACUGCAUUGGAUACUAUUCGGCUUGAGAGUUGGAGGGGGGACUGGAAUUCUUGGUGUAGCAGUGAAAUGCGUAGAUAUCAGGAGGAACACCGGCGGCGAAGGCGGGUCGCUGGGCCAUAACUGACGCUGAGGAGCGAAAGCGUGGGGAGCAAAAGGG
This 253-nucleotide ribosomal RNA is filed under the name uncultured bacterium. RNAcentral's name for it is "partial 16S ribosomal RNA". It matches the Rfam family "Bacterial small subunit ribosomal RNA", at positions 524 to 776 of the family's 1533-position model. The record is from RNAcentral.